This 488-nucleotide ribosomal RNA is filed under the name uncultured bacterium. RNAcentral describes it as "bacterial SSU rRNA". It matches the Rfam family "Bacterial small subunit ribosomal RNA", at positions 28 to 485 of the family's 1533-position model. The record is from RNAcentral.
GACGAACGCUGGCGGCGUGCCUAACACAUGCAAGUCGAGCGGGGUUGAGGCGAGAGGUAACUCGAACUUCUACCUAGCGGCGGACGGGUGAGUAACGCGUGGAUAAUCUGCCCUUGAGUGUGGAAUAACGUACCGAAAGGUGCGCUAAUACCGCAUAAUGCCUGGCAACACAAGUUGUCCGGCCAAAGAAGGCCUCUGUUUACAAGCUUUUGCUCAAGGAUGAGUCCGCGUACCAUUAGCUAGUUGGUGGGGUAACGGCCUACCAAGGCUACGAUGGUUAGCUGGUCUGAGAGGAUGAUCAGCCACACUGGAACUGAGACACGGUCCAGACUCCUACGGGAGGCAGCAGUGAGGAAUAUUGCGCAAUGGGGGCAACCCUGACGCAGCAACGCCGCGUGAGUGAGGAAGGUUUUCGGACUGUAAAGCUCUGUCGAGCGGGAAGAAAUGUACCAUGGCUAAUAUCCAUGAUAUUUGACGGUACCGCUAGA